AUAAUUGUAUGUUCUUUUUAAGGAAUAUUGAUGCGUAAAAUCGCCUCAGACGAUCGAAAAUUAUAAUUGUAUGUUCUUAUGUAUCAAUAUUCGUCUCAGAAAAUCAAACCACCACAAAGUGCGAUCCAAACAAGAUAUUCAAAGAUACUCACAUCAACGCGAUUGGUGUCGUGAAUUAUUUGGGAGAACACAAUUAUGGAGGAGCAAUGGCGGUGGCAGUUUGGAGAAAGAAGAUAUGGGUGGCUGCUCUUUGGAGGAACGAGAGGAGAUAAAUUCAGAUCGUGAGAGGGAAAAAAAUGUGAGAUCGAUAGUGGCUAUUAGGUAUAAAUUGGACGGAUCGGAUCGGAAUUAGCCUUAUUUCGGAAAAAAAAUCUGAAUUUUUUCGGAAGUGAAAAACUAGUUUCAGUUUCGUUCCAUAAAAAAUCAGAAAUCGGAAUUUCGAAAAUUGGAACGCAAAAACUUGUUCCAAAAUUGAAGGUUUUUGGAUAGGAACCAGCGGAAUCCGGAAUUUUCAAAUAAUAAUAUUUGUAUUUUAAUUGUAAUAUCCGGGAAAAAAUCGAAAAUUUUGGAAUUAUUUUUGAAACUUUAAUCGGAUCUGAAAUCGAAAUUCAUAUAUAUAUUUCAAUUCUAAUCCAAGUAAUUUCGUAAAAAUUGAAAGUUGGAAUUUCCAUAUUUGGAUUGAAAACUAUCAAUUCCAAAAUCGGAAAAUUUCGAAUCGGAGUCGGCGGAUAGAAGCAAAUAAUUUUGAUAUUGAUUCGAAC
Molecule: long non-coding RNA, 761 nt
Filed under: Erythranthe guttata (spotted monkey flower)
Lineage: Eukaryota; Viridiplantae; Streptophyta; Magnoliopsida; Lamiales; Phrymaceae
Description: long non-coding RNA (EGUT_LNC002022)
Source: RNAcentral